AUCUGACUGCUAUUUUGGGGUCAAGAAGGAAUUUUUUCCUAGAAUGUUGCAAAAUUGGAAGCACUUCAGACUGGGUCUUUUCUUUUGGAUCAACGGCAAAAACAUCAAAAGCAUAUGUGAGGAAGGCUGAACUUGAUAGACGCAAGCCUCUUCUCAGCUAUGUAACUAUGUAAUAAAUAAUUUAGAAAGCAUAGUUUAAUGUACAUUCCACAGCAUCUGUAACUGUAAUAUUGGUAUCUAAUAUAAAACAAAACUGCUGAACCAUGUUUAAUUGAGAAAUUAUUUAUGGAUACCUUCAAUUUUGUUAAUUUUCUUUAAUGGAUGGUCAGAUUGACAUAUGGGUGGACCAAUGGAUAAACAGACAGACUGACAAACAGAUAGAAAAGCAAGAGAGA
Pelobates cultripes (western spadefoot toad) is the source of this 395-nucleotide non-coding RNA. Lineage: Eukaryota; Metazoa; Chordata; Amphibia; Anura; Pelobatidae. The record is from the annotation of a GenBank genome assembly.